CAGCCGCCGCGGUAAUACAGAGGGUGCGAGCGUUAAUCGGAUUUACUGGGCGUAAAGCGUGCGUAGGCGGCUUCUUAAGUCGGAUGUGAAAUCCCUGAGCUUAACUUAGGAAUUGCAUUCGAUACUGGGAAGCUAGAGUAUGGGAGAGGAUGGUAGAAUUCCAGGUGUAGCGGUGAAAUGCGUAGAGAUCUGGAGGAAUACCGAUGGCGAAGGCAGCCAUCUGGCCUAAUACUGACGCUGAGGUACGAAAGCAUGGGGAGCUAACAGGAUUAGAUACCCCCGUAGUCCCUGUCUCUUAUAC
Molecule: ribosomal RNA, 301 nt
Filed under: uncultured bacterium
Lineage: Bacteria
Description: partial 16S ribosomal RNA
Rfam family: Bacterial small subunit ribosomal RNA
Source: RNAcentral